This 433-nucleotide ribosomal RNA is filed under the name uncultured bacterium. Its description in RNAcentral is "partial 16S ribosomal RNA". It matches the Rfam family "Bacterial small subunit ribosomal RNA", at positions 29 to 507 of the family's 1533-position model. The record is from RNAcentral.
AACGAACGCUGGCGGCAUGCCUAACACAUGCAAGUCGAACGAGACCUUCGGGUCUAGUGGCGCACGGGUGCGUAACGCGUGGGAACCUGCCCUUAGGUUCGGAAUAACUCCCCGAAAGGGGUGCUAAUACCGGAUAAUGUCUUCGGACCAAAGAUUUAUCGCCUUUGGAUGGGCCCGCGUUGGAUUAGCUAGUUGGUAGGGUAAAAGCCUACCAAGGCGACGAUCCAUAGCUGGUCUGAGAGGAUGAUCAGCCACACUGGGACUGAGACACGGCCCAGACUCCUACGGGAGGCAGCAGUGGGGAAUAUUGGACAAUGGGCGAAAGCCUGAUCCAGCAAUGCCGCGUGAGUGAUGAAGGCCUUAGGGUUGUAAAGCUCUUUUACCCGGGAUGACAGUGACAGUACCGGGAGAAUAAGCUCCGGCUAACUCCGUG